CAGUCGCCGCGGUAACACGAACCGUGCGAACGUUAUUCGGAAUCACUGGGCUUAAAGCGCGUGUAGGCGGGCCGCCGCGUCGGCUGCUGAAAUCCCCCGGCUCAACCGGGGAACGGGCACCGAUACGGGCGGCCUCGAGGGGGGUAGGGGGACCUGGAACUUCCGGUGGAGCGGUGAAAUGCGUUGAGAUCGGAAGGAACGCCCGUGGCGAAAGCGAGGUCCUGGACCCUUUCUGACGCUGAGACGCGAAAGCCAGGGGAGUGAACGGGAUUAGAGACCCGCGUAGUCCCUGUCUCUUAUA
Molecule: ribosomal RNA, 301 nt
Filed under: uncultured bacterium
Lineage: Bacteria
Description: partial 16S ribosomal RNA
Rfam family: Bacterial small subunit ribosomal RNA
Source: RNAcentral